This 317-nucleotide ribosomal RNA is filed under the name uncultured bacterium. Its description in RNAcentral is "bacterial SSU rRNA". It matches the Rfam family "Bacterial small subunit ribosomal RNA", at positions 773 to 1079 of the family's 1533-position model. The record is from RNAcentral.
AGGGAAUAGAUACCCAGGUAGUCCACGCCGUAAACGAUGGUCACUAGGUGUGUGUGGUAUCGACCCCGCACGUGCCGCAGCUAACGCGAUAAGUGACCCGCCUGGGGAGGUACGGCCGCAAGGUUGAAACUACAAAGGAAUUGACGGGGGCCCGGCACAAGCGGUGGAGCAUGUGGAUUAAUACGUCACUAACCGUAGAACCUUACCCAGGCUUGACAUCUAGGGAAUCCCCCUCGAAAGGGGGAGGUGCUCGCAAGAAGAGCCCUAACGACAGGUGUUGCAUGGCGUGUCGUCAGCUCGUGUCGUGAGAUGUUGGG